GCCGAUGUGGCGAAAUUGGUAGACGCGCAUGGUUCAGGUCCAUGUUCCUGCAAGGGAGUGGGGGUUCGAGUCCCUCCAUCGGCACCA
Molecule: transfer RNA, 87 nt
Filed under: Gemmatimonadaceae bacterium
Lineage: Bacteria; Pseudomonadati; Gemmatimonadota; Gemmatimonadia; Gemmatimonadales; Gemmatimonadaceae
Also listed under: 1 other name
Description: tRNA-Leu
Rfam family: tRNA
About the family: Transfer RNA (tRNA) molecules are approximately 80 nucleotides in length.
Source: RNAcentral